RNAcentral lists this long non-coding RNA (205 nucleotides) under Olea europaea (common olive). Its description in RNAcentral is "long non-coding RNA (OEUR_LNC002517)". Lineage: Eukaryota; Viridiplantae; Streptophyta; Magnoliopsida; Lamiales; Oleaceae. The record is from RNAcentral.
UAUUUUAUUUUUUUUUUGGGGAUAGUUUUGGAUUUUGGAUGUUAUUUUAAUUUUGUAUUGUUUUCAUAAACUUGUAAUGCUCAAAUUUUUGCGUACAUAAUUGAAAAUGUUAUUAGAUUUUUACGCAAAUUUUUACGUUGAUUUCGUCCGGGGGCCCAAUUUACGGACCUCGCCUCGGGCCUCCAUUAUCACAGGACCGGCCCUG